UGGGGAAUCUUCCGCAAUGGACGAAAGUCUGACGGAGCAACGCCGCGUGAGUGAAGACGGCCUUCGGGUUGUAAAGCUCUGUUAUUCGGGAAGAACGAUUCGUUUGUGAACAAUGAACGGAAGUGACGGUACCGAAAGAGAAAGCCACGGCUAACUACGUGCCAGCAGCCGCGGUAAUACGUAGGUGGCAAGCGUUGUCCGGAAUUAUUGGGCGUAAAGAGCGCGUAGGCGGUAUGGUAAGUCUGUCUUAGAAGUGCGGGGCUUAACCCCGUGAGGGGACAGAGACUGUCAUACUGGAGUCUCGGAGAGGAAAGCGGAAUUCCUAGUGUAGCGGUGAAAUGCGUAGAGAUUAGGAAGAACACCGGUGGCGAAGGCGGUUCUCUGGGCCUUUCCUGACGCUGAGAAGCGAAAGCGUGGGGAGCGAACAGG
RNAcentral lists this ribosomal RNA (429 nucleotides) under Fusobacteriota bacterium. RNAcentral describes it as "Fusobacteria bacterium partial 16S ribosomal RNA". It matches the Rfam family "Bacterial small subunit ribosomal RNA", at positions 355 to 776 of the family's 1533-position model. The record is from RNAcentral. Lineage: Bacteria; Fusobacteriati; Fusobacteriota.